This 440-nucleotide ribosomal RNA is filed under the name uncultured bacterium. RNAcentral's name for it is "partial 16S ribosomal RNA". It matches the Rfam family "Bacterial small subunit ribosomal RNA", at positions 338 to 795 of the family's 1533-position model. The record is from RNAcentral.
CCUACGGGAGGCAGCAGUGGGGGAUAUUGCACAAUGGGGGGAACCCUGAUGCAGCGACGCCGCGUGGGUGAUGAAGCGCCUCGGGGUGUAAAGCCCUGUCAGCAGGGAAGUAAAUGACGGUACCUGAGGAAGAAGCCCCGGCUAACUACGUGCCAGCAGCCGCGGUAAUACGUAGGGGGCAAGCGUUAUCCGGAUUUACUGGGUGUAAAGGGGGCGCAGACGGGGAUGCAAGACAGGAGGGAAAGCCCGGGGCCCAACCCCGGGACUGCUAUUGGAACUGCGUGGCUGGAGUGCAGGAGGGGUAGGCGGAAUGCGUGGUGUAGCGGUGAAAUGCGUAGAUAUCAGGAGGAACACCGGUGGCGAAGGCGGCCUGCUGGACUGCAACUGACGUUGAGGCCCGAAAGCGUGGGGAGCAAACAGGAUUAGAUACCCCAGUAGUC